Molecule: long non-coding RNA, 460 nt
Organism: Carassius gibelio (silver crucian carp)
Lineage: Eukaryota; Metazoa; Chordata; Actinopteri; Cypriniformes; Cyprinidae
Exons: 3
Source: RefSeq, a predicted model, not a curated record
CAAGCUCCAAAACUCAAGUACUCAAUUAGCUGAGUCAGAUAUUUUAAUGAAUCGGUUUAUCCAGUUAACAACAAUGGUCUAAUGAUUCAGGCUAAUCCAGUUAAGUAAGUGGGAGUUCUCUCAGCCCACUGAGUGGCCUAUAGUCUUGUGUAGUCUACUGUGUGAGAUCAGGGCAAGACUCCUCACUGGUGCAUAUAUGACUGCGUUUAACGCUCCAACCUGCUUCCACAUGGCUGGUUCUGUGGAUAUAUUUGCUGAUGUUUGGGAAGAUUGUGAUUUAAAGCGUGCAACGAUGGUCUUGAUUACAUCAGGCUUUUAUUGAUGCAUGUCAUGCACCCUGUUUGAGCUUAAAUGUUCCCCCUUCAUUUACUCAUCCUCAUGUAAUUUCAAACAUGUAUGACCACCUUUCUCCUGUUGAAAUAAAACUACACUAAAUGGGGUUCAAAGACUGACAUGCAUU